Molecule: ribosomal RNA, 499 nt
Filed under: uncultured bacterium
Lineage: Bacteria
Description: partial 16S ribosomal RNA
Rfam family: Bacterial small subunit ribosomal RNA
Source: RNAcentral
ACGCACGCUGGCGGCGUGCUUCACCCCUGCCAGUCGAACGGGUCUGCCCUGUUUUUUGCGGGGUGGGUCAGUGGCGAACGGGUGAGUAACACGUGAGUAACCUGCCCCUCACUUCUGGAUAACCGCUUGAAAGGGUGGCUAAUACGGGGUGUUCUGGCUGUGCCGCAUGGUGUGGCUGGGAAAGAUUCACUUUUGUGGUGUUUUGGUGGGGGAUGGGCUCGCGGCCUAUCAGCGUGUUGGUGGGGUGAUGGCCUGCCAAGGCUUUGACGGGUAGCCGGCCUGAGAGGGUGGGCGGUCACACUGGGACUGAGAUACGGCCCAGACUGCUGCGGGAGGCAGCAGUGGGGGGUAUUGCACAAUGGGCGGAAGCCUGAUGCAGCGACGUCGCGUGAGGGAUGGAGGCCUGCGGGUUGUGAACCUCUUUCGCCGGUGAAGAAGGUCCUGCUCUUUGUGGUGGGGUUGACGGUAGCCGGGUUAUGAAGCGCCGGCUAACUACGUG